UGUGUAGUGCCUGAAUAAAGGACAAUUUUGAUAGAAUUGAUCAUGUACUAAUAAGUACCUUCACAU
This 66-nucleotide transfer RNA is filed under the name Callosobruchus maculatus (cowpea weevil). RNAcentral describes it as "tRNA-Ile". Lineage: Eukaryota; Metazoa; Arthropoda; Insecta; Coleoptera; Chrysomelidae. The record is from RNAcentral.